UGGGGAAUAUUGCGCAAUGGGGGAAACCCUGACGCAGCCAUGCCGCGUGUGUGAAGAAGGCCUUCGGGUUGUAAAGCACUUUCACUUGGGAGGAACAGUUCGUAGUUAAUACCUGCGAACCUUGACGUUACCUUGAGAAGAAGCACCGGCUAACUCCGUGCCAGCAGCCGCGGUAAUACGGAGGGUGCGAGCGUUAAUCGGAAUUACUGGGCGUAAAGCGCGCGUAGGCGGUUUGUUAAGUCGGAUGUGAAAGCCCCGGGCUCAACCUGGGAAUUGCAUCCGAUACUGGCCGACUGGAGUGCGAGAGAGGGAGGUAGAAUUCCACGUGUAGCGGUGAAAUGCGUAGAUAUGUGGAGGAAUACCGGUGGCGAAGGCGGCCUCCUGGCUCGACACUGACGCUGAGGUGCGAAAGCGUGGGGAGCAAACA
This 427-nucleotide ribosomal RNA is filed under the name uncultured bacterium. RNAcentral describes it as "bacterial SSU rRNA". It matches the Rfam family "Bacterial small subunit ribosomal RNA", at positions 355 to 774 of the family's 1533-position model. The record is from RNAcentral.